This is a long non-coding RNA of Fundulus heteroclitus (mummichog), 10015 nucleotides long. RefSeq lists it as uncharacterized. Lineage: Eukaryota; Metazoa; Chordata; Actinopteri; Cyprinodontiformes; Fundulidae. The transcript is spliced from 2 exons. The record is from RefSeq and is a predicted model, not a curated record.
UAUCAACAAGGUCAAGUGGAACGAGCUGUUUAUCCCAGAACUGCUAUGGAGGAAUUCAUCUUUUAAUAUUGUCAAGGUGGAACCCUGUUUGUCUUAAUAACUGCAAUCACUGCCCAAAGAAUGAUUAGUUCUAGAAUGUUUCACUGAAUCACAACAAGGUAAAGUAAGGCCAAAGGAACUUUAGUUGAACUACUCUUGGCUCCUACUAUCUUUUUCCAAAGAUCUGUUUAUAAGACUUCCUAGAAAUGGAAGAGCACACACACCAUUUCACACACACACCCCUCCAACUAGGGAGGGAGGGCUUUUGGUCCAGAGCAAUGCCUGUACACAGUAAGAUAUCAUGUUCCUAUUUACGUCAUACUGUAUCCCUAUAAAGGCUGAAAGUUACCCCAUAUUGUUGGGAUUGUUGAUACUGCUGUGAAAUGAAGAUGAUUGUAAGUCCAGAAUAAACGAAUCCCCCUGCUGGUCACUGAAGAGAAGCUGUGGUGUCUGGUCUCGUCUGUCUGUUUUUUAAGGUUAAAUCCUCUCCCACAUAAUUGGCGUUGUCGGCAGGAUUAGAACAAGGGAGAGGAAAGAAAGGCUUUCCACAGCAUCUACCUCCAGUGGCAAGACGGGGCCCAUUGAGAAACAGAAAAGAGGAGGCCAAAGGAAAAAGGAAAACUCUACAGGGCAGAGUUUGAAAUGUAAGAAUAACAUAAAAAACUCUAACCCUUUGGUACCUCCUUGGCAACCCCACUCAUUUGCCAAAUUAAACUCGCUCUGUUCAAAGAACAUUAACCCAUUAAUAGCCCUACUGUUGUCAUUUGGGUUCACUGGAUUAAUCAUUGAUUUUGAGUUUGAGUUGAAGCCUACUUAGAAUGGAUGUUCAAUUGGACGUGUGAUGUGAUGUAUGAGGUUAUUUGAAUAUGUGAUAUGCAUGUGAUAAGGUAUUAACAUUGCAUGUUUGGCUUUAAGCAUUAACAGUUGCUUCAAUCGUAAUGCAGAGCAAACACGGUGUGUGAAAGCAGACACACACGCAUGCUUUUAAAUAACCGCUGACAAGCAACUUAUAGAAACGCAAAACUUUUUAACUAUAGUAAUCAAUAGAAUAAAUGCCGGCAAGAUUAUCUAUAAUAUACAAAAGUUUGUGUACGUCUGUCUUAGUGUUGUCUAAAAUGUUGUGUACGUCUGUCUAAGUGUUGUUUAGGGGUAUUUUGUGUAAAUGUUUAAUCUAUGUUGUGAAGGUGGUUUACUGACAGUUGUCUGACUUUUAUCUGUGCUAUCGCAGUAUGUUUUAAUAAUAAUGUUGAUAAGCAUUAUUAACGCAAUGACAUAAUGGAUCAACGAGAAUUUAUUAUAGUAAACAAGGGUCAUAAGUUUUAGAUGUCCACAAUGCCUGAUGUCUCAGUAUUCACAAAAGUCCGGACUGAAGUGAAUGUUGGCGAAUUGCCUUAAGAUUAUGCAUUGGAUUGUACUAAAUUCUUAGGAAUACUGGGGUGUCAGUCAGGCUGGAACUCAAUUGUGAGGUUGAUUAAAGGAAAUCAUCAUCCAUAAGCCUUCGUCAGUAUCAGGAGUAUUAGUGGAGGAAACAAAAGAGGAAAACCAUGAAUGAUGUUGUGUAUUAUGUGAUAAUGAUGUCUUAAGAUCUAUGAUCAUUAGAAUUUUGGUAUACUUAAGGUAACAUAUUGAGUUAAUGGUGUAUUAAAUGAAAGUGAAUAUUAUUGAACUUUGUGGUUAUGAAAAGACUUUGGAGUUGUUGUGCCUCUCCAGUCCUAAAUACCAGGAUUGACACAAUGUCCGGAGCUGCAGAGCUCUGAGAGCGGACAGCAGAGAGGAGAGGAGAGCAGCAGAAGGGGGGCUGAGACUCCCGACUGCACAUGGGCGAUCCUAGAAAAAACAGGGCCCCAACAUAUUAGACGUCUAUCGGAUCACUAUGAUUCAAUAAAACAUGAAAUUUAAAGAAUAUGGGAAAUCUGGAUAAUUAACAACAACUUAAACAGGGAAACUGAAAAGGAGGCUUGUGAUCAAAAGGUACUUCUAAAUUAGUUCUCUUUUGGUUGGUUCACCAUUGAGACUGAUUAUUAAAAUACAAAUUUAAUGUAAGCAACAGCUGAAAUUGUAGGAUUAACAGUGAUUAAUAAGGUCUAAUUUGAAUAGAAUUAGAGUUGUCAAAGAAUAGGUUGCGAUAAUUGUCAUCCUUAUUAAAAAUAAUAAAAUAAAAUAACUUAGAGUGAGAAGUAAGAUGGUGAAUUAAUUAUUUUGCCAUUGGGAAACCUCUGUGAAUUUAUGUGAUAACAUCCAAAAUUAUAAAAUGACUUCAGAAAAUUGGUUAAUUUCGUUGCAGGGAAAGUAAUGAACAAAAUAGAACAUAAGAAAACUUAAGGAAUCAACUCAUUAAUCUCUAAAUGGUGGAUCUGAUGAAAAGGGUUGCACACGCUGAAAUGGCACUGAAGGAGAAAUGCCUAAUGAAGCAGCUGACUGAUGAUGGUAUAACCUGAGGUUUGUCAACACGGAGAACCAGAACAAAAUCUUCCUCGGUGGGAAUCCAGCAUGGAUUCCAGACCACUGGCUCAGUGCCUGCUCAGACAUGGAGCAGCGAAGGACGCUCAGGCCGUCAGGAAACACGGCUGAGCAAAGGAAGCGGUCUCCACAUCCGUUGACAGAAUGCCAUGGAAGAGAGCUGAUGUUUGUGAAUUGUGAAAACCCAGCGACUGAAGGUCCACCACAAGAAUUAGCAAAAUCCAAUCAAUUUAAUAAAUUCUGGAAGUAAAGUAAAACAAAUAUUGAGAAUGGCAACUAGUUACUAUAAAGUAACAAAAUUACAUAAGUGGCUAAAAUUGAAUUGUCUAGUGUAAUUAUUAACAGAAAAUUCCCCUGCCUCAGUAAAGUUAACAUUUUAUUUUAUUUCUUUGAAGGUAAACCAGCAGACUGUUGAAUAAUAAAGACGAUGGGUUCUCCUAUGACAAAGUAAUUAAUUACCUCAUGUACUGUUAAUUAGGAAAUAGGCACUUUUAAGAAGAGGAUAGCAGAAUUUGAGGAUUACAGAACAAAUGAAGUAUUCAACACUAGAGCGUCACGUUAUGAUUGAAUGACACGAGUUGAUUGGGAAACCAAUAACUUAUGUAUUUGUGAACAGAAUUAUUCUGCAAGCAUGGCUGAAGUACGUAAACACUAGAGUAAGAUUAGAGGCAUAAAGUAAAAGAAUUUGGUUUGAAGAAAUUUCAGAAAUAGUAUUGAAUCCUUUAAACUUUAGACAAGAAGGACAUGUUAUUAUUACUAACUUCUCUUUGCCGUUAUACUAAUAUUCUUAAAGUGGUUUGGAACAAGUUCUGUGAAGAAACACAAAUCACAAGCCUCUGCUCAGUUGAGUGAGUAUUUUAUUUCGGUAAUUAAAACCUUGGGUAAAAGUGAAUCAAUCUGUGACAGCAACCCGUUUUUUGGUAUAACUAUAAAAAUCCUAAUGUAAAAAGAUACAUGGUGUAUUUGUAAAUGCUUCAUUUGAAAAUUGAGUUUCUCACCGGGUAAACAGACUCAGCCAAAAUAAAAAAGAGUAAAUGACCGGAUUUCCGAGAGUAAUGACAGGACCAGGUUUUGAUUGCAUGCUUGGCAUUAACAACUCAGUCCUGAUUGAGAGCACUAACUGUUCUGUCUUAAGUCCUGUUUUUCAGAAGUUGAGAUUCUGUCCGGUUCUGGCCACCCUUUUUCUGAUGGAAGACACAUCAAAAAGACGAGAAGAACAGCUGUAAGUUGAGCAUGGAGGGACGGUAUGAUAAACUAUAAAGUGAAAAUCAGACUGAUGUCAACCUCUGAUUUAAGCAAUCAAAUUUUCAAGUGACUUAAAUGGAUCUCUCUGGCAAAACAUUGUCAAAAGGUUAGUGUAAUAGUUGCUUGCGUAAACAUAUUAUUUAAUGUCACAUGGAUGCUUGUGAUCAUACCGGUAGGAUAUAGAAAGCUAAUAUUAAAACUUAAAUCUAGGUAUUACCUUUGAUGAAAGUAGGUUUCCAGAAAUAACUUAGGAAAAAGGAAACUCAACUUUUAUUAAAAAGAAAUGGGAAUAACUACUGUUAUACGAUCAAGAUGUGGAAGAUUAUUUAGCUAUUUCUGGGAACAGUUCCACAAACGUUGAUCAACAGAUAACUUUAUCUUAACAGUUGACCUCUGUUGGUAAACACAGGGUGUCAUGUUCUGGAUUUUUGCUCCCUUUGCCCCGCUGCCGAGGACACACAGACCUUAGAUGUUUUCCCAACUUCUGCACAGAUAUUUCCUAAUCUCUGCAAAGAAAACUGAAAAUAAACAAUGUUAAACAAGUUAUUGAUUAGUAAAUUGGGUUACAUGGCUGAAACAAAAUUUCAGGUAUUUUAAAUAAGGUUACUGUUUUCUCGAAACUGAAAUAUUAACAUUAUUAAAAGAGAAGCGAACAUUAGCCUGAAUUACCUUAAACUUGGAAGAGACCUGAGGUUUCAAUGCGACGUUCCUAUUAACUCUUCUCUAUAAAGUUAUGGGAAAGGAAAAGGUGAGUUAUCCGCUAUUUCAUAAAGAAUGUGUAAACAGGAAACGACAAGAGAAGGAAGAACAUAGCCCGAGUCCCGUCCGUCUCUGAGGAAUUUUCCUUUCUUUUCUUUUUUCUUGUGCUCAUGACUCUGGAUCCAACUCACAACAUUUGGCAAUGGUAUGCAACUCUCAUUGCACAAUUAUCAAAAUAGUUGGACGAGCGACAAACUACUAUUUGAAAAACAAAAAGAAAUAACAGUUUUACUAAUUGUAUGUAUGCUGGCUUAUAAAGUCUUUACGGUUGGAAAAGCAAAUUAUCUUACAAAGAAUGUAAGUUCCACAAAUUUACAACAGGCAAAAUGAACAGGAUAAGUAUGCGCAGAACAAAACAUAUUUGAUUAAUCUUGGAAUCUUGGUUUAUGUGUAGGUUAUAUUUUAGUACUGUGAAUGGAAUUAUAAACAAUUCUAACUAAAUUACCUGAGUUACUAAAAGAAGAAAAACUGGUGAUGAAGUUCCACACCUUUUAUGGAGAAAUAGAGCAGAUAUUAGAUAUAUGGAAAGUAAUUGCAACCCACAGUCCUGCUGCAGUCUAUCUCUGCCUAGUCUCUGAAUUUAUUUCAUCCUAGCGUCCCUUCUAAUUAUCCCAUAGCAGCCGACAGUUAGAAAAACAUUGACAGUUUAUCCUACUAUAUGAGAAACGCUGCGUAAAACUAUUCAUUAAGUGACUAUUUGAUUAACAUUUAUUUCUUGUUUGUUCACUUUUGAGCUUUCAUCGACAAGUAGUCGUUACAAAUACCUUAAGAUGGACAUGAAGUGUUGUUCAUGCACAAGUUUGGAAAGAGGUUUGGUAAACAUUAGUGAGGUCGGACUGACCUCGGAGUAAAGAGAGCGAUAACAUUGUUUAACUGUAGUGUUCCAAAGAUAAGUCAAGUAGCGGAAUUAAUCGGUCUGUUUUUGUGCUUUUGAGCCAAAACGUUUACCGGAAGUUAUGGUAGUUAGGGUCAUUUUGACCUUUUUCCUGGCUCCGCCGAUGGGAGUAAAGAGGAAACAUCUGGAGUCGUUGUUUGAGUGGACUGUUCCAAGAUAUGUCAAGUAGUGGAAUUAAUAGCUCUGUUUUUGUACUUUUGUGAUAAACACUUCCCAGAACUUUCGUCCAGUUUCCAACUGGACGUCAAUAGCGUGUAACACACACACACCAAUGGAGACACACAGACUCUUGUGUUUAACGCACACACAUCUGUAAGCCUUAAAUAGGCAAGUGCUGGAUAUGAAUGUUUGAGAACUCUCUGCUGGAACCCGUUUGCGCGUUCCAGGUGUAAUAAAUAGAGUUCUUGUUGUCGAGACAGAGGUUUAGUUACUGUUACACAAGGACUUUUAACACAUAGGAGGACCACUUAGGAAUAAAGUGACAAAACAUGGAUUAAGCAUUCAAUAAAGCGGCAUAAUGGUUAUUAGUGGAGUUGAGAAAUUUGGAGUUGAGAAAAGACGCUGAAGAGCAGCACGGACGUGACCAAUACAGACCAUAAAAACUCAGACCUAUGUAAAAUCAUGAUAACUAAAACUGAUUAGAAUGUGAGGGUUUUUGAGAAAGCUGGAGUAAAUGUACUAAUUCUUGAAUAUUCUUGUCAACCGCUCGCACAUUAAUGGGUCAAUAGCUGACAAGGACGGGCUCACCAAGGAAUGAAGGAGUUGAUGUUUAUAUUGAAGCUCAUCGCUCUGUUUAUAUCAAGAGAAUCGUUCUGUUCAGAAUGUUCCAGGCUUUAAAGAGCCAUUACGUGUUCACAAUAUCUGAAGUCCUACAUCUGGAAACACUUUCAAGUUACAAAUCCAGGAAUGGUAAUUUCUAUGAGGGUUGUAGCCACAUCAAAUCUAGUCUGAAUGAUUAGCACAAGAUCAGGUUCAAAGUAAAAUUAUUGUAUUAAAGUCGAAGUACGUUUAGAAGCUGAUGAUGCAGGAUCAGUAUAACAAACUAUAAAAGGGAAAACCUUUUUUGUUGAGUGCAGGUAAGAAUAGAGAGAAGACAGGGUCUUCUGCUUCUAAAUCAAUGAUAGCGUUUAGACAGAAAACAUUGAAUUUGGAGCACCGACAAUAAAUUACUACAUACGGCAUUUAAAAGGUAAAUAGGCAACAUGUAUAUUUUAUUAGAGGAAAGUAAAAAUCAAGCGAUUACAGUUACUCUGAUGAACACUCUGAUCAUAAUAUUGUGUUUAAGGACAUAAGGGGGGGUGUUUAGAAUUUAUUGGCAUACUUGGUUAAGAAUAGAAGGAGUACAUUAACACUAAAUAAGAAGUUAAGCUCGGAAUAAACAUAACAGAAGAAGAAUGGACUCUGAUCUGGAAGCAUCAGUGGAAAUGUACGUCUUCACAGAGAUGGAGAGAGUUUGGAUGGAAAACACUGAUAAGAUACUUUAUUACCCCAUAUCAAAAAUCACACUAUGAUGGAAAUCCUCCUGUUUGCUGGAGAAAAUGUGGAAACCUGCAAGCAAACCAUUUUCACAUUAUGUGGGACUGCUCGGUAGUUAAACAAUAUUGGAAAGACAUCCACAAAACACUACAGGAGAUAUUUAAAUGUAUAAUUCCCUUUGAUAUGAAAACUAUUUUCUUUGGAAACAUACCACAAGGUUGGAUGAAAAAUGAUAAAUCUCUUUUGAGCAUGUUGUUAGUUGCUAGUAAGAAGGGUAUAACCAAAAAAUGGUUAUCACAGGAGGUACCACAUCUGUCAACAUGGUGGGACAUAAUGUUGGAUAUUUAUAAAAUGGAAGAGAUGACAGCAGCUAUAAAUAACAGACAGGGAUGGUUCAUGUCAUGCUGGGAAAAAUGGAUUGAUUAUACAAACUUAAAAAGGCCCGAUUUCAUUCUGAAAAUGUGAAUAUGUGAGAUAAUGGCAAUGGUCACUCCCUUCUGUUCCCUUAUGUGUGUGUUUUUUUUUGUUUCUGUUUGCUCUCUUUUCUUUCAACAAUGGGAAACAUGUUAAGAUGUCUAAAUACUAAUGAUAUAUGUACUUUUCUGUACAUGUAAAAAAUACCCAUUGGUAUAAAUUUGUUGAAAAACUCAAAAUAAAGAAUUAAAAAAAAAAGAAAAAAAAGAAGUUAAGCUCAACGUGGUAAGGGCGACUCACAUGGAAGUAAAUACUAUUUAGUGGUUUAAACUAAACAUUAUUGAAUGAAUCUGAGCAGUCGGUUACAUUUUUGGAUUAGGAUUGCAGUGCAGUACAGAGUAAUGAAUAAUUGAAACUUUUUUUUUCUAAAUUCCUGAACAACAGAGAAUAGAAACAUAUCACUUAGUUUUACUUAGUUCUGGAAGCAAAAGGGGGCCUUAACUUCUAACACUUCUUCUUCUUUUCUUCUACUUUUGCUUCUUUAUCGUGCAUGAAAACCCUGGUCAACUAAAUUUUAAUCGUAAAGAUGGAUAUUUCUGUUAGAAAUAUCUUUCAGGAGCAGACGGAGAGCAGAUUUGCACAGGAGAAUGGCUGAACCUGGGUACUGGCGGAGUAAGCCCUGUGAACAUAUCUUUUCUAAAUUGUGAAUUUUGAUGAAUGAUUUUGUGACAAAUGAGGACAUUGUUAAACCUUUUUUGAUAAAUAUGUGUAGAGUCACUAUUUUGCAGUUGAUGUGGACUUUAAGUUCUAAAUGUGCUCAUGUAUUUUAUUUUCUACUGUUCCUAUGUCCUGGAGUGGAGCAUGGUUCAUGGAGGAUGGGAUGAAUUGUCACCGAAGCGGACUUUCAUGUAUGGGCUGAUAAUAUAAUGAGAAAAGGUGAUGUUAUUAGAAAACAAUUCGAACAAUUUUUCAGUAAGACCAUUGCUUUAGCUGCUACAGGUUGCAUGUUCUGCUGUGGCUGAACAUUCUACAUUAUUUUCAAACAUUAUGUUCUCUAUGUUCUUAAUAUUUUGUUUUUAAUUGAGUCGGCAUAGCUGUUGUUUUUGUUUUGAUUUACGCUUUCAGGUGAGCGAUCUUGGAAGGUAUUUAAGUUUGGAAGUUCAAGUCGAAUACACACAAAAAGAUCAUGUUGCAGGAUAAGUUAAGGUGCAAUUACGUAUACACAGAGUGUUGUAAUGUUAUUAGUGAAUUCUUACAACUUAUACGCAGUACGAGUUGAGAUAAAACUGAAAUGAAAUCAGAUGGACACUAAACAUCAAUGUUAAAGAAAAUGUACAUUAGCCCCAUUGACAUUUGAAGGAUAUCAUCAUGAGACUAGUGAAGACUCUGAGCUGGGGAACCAUUGUAAUAUACGAUACUGGUUAGUUUUUCCUGUCUCCUUAGGGCAACCCAGGGACGUAGAAGGGCGGGGUCCCUCUUUGUGUGCUGGACUAAGGGACUCAGAGGCGUGAUGUUUGCAACAGAGGGGGCCCUGCACCAGGACUGUGAGAAAGCAGUGCGAUUUAAUCAAAGGACUUGUAUCCUGGAGAGCGACAUACCGUGUCAGCGACAUGAGGACAAGAACUUUGCCACACUACGAAGCUGCCAAUCCCAUCAAAUGUUAUAAAUUCUGAUUUUAUCUAUGCUAUGCUAAAUCCCUGAAGUUUUUGAUUUAUGAUAAGGUGUAUGAUGGGCAUAUUUUUUAGGUAGAUGUUUUUGGGUGGUAACAGUAGAAACUGAAUGAUGAUAUUAUACUAUUCUAAUUUUUUUUUAAUUUUGCUUAAUAUGUUUGUCUUCUUUCCUGUUAUUUUUAAGAUGUUUAUGUCUUUUGACGACAUUGUGAGUACCAUGGCUGGGUUUCUGAGCCAUGCUGGUCGGUCAGGUGGUCGGCUGGCGGACGCCCGUGGGGGAGGGGUCCAUGCAACAGUUUUUACCCUGAAUAAACACAUAAAUACCAGCAACAGGGAUUUUUCGGUUGCAUAUGGUUAGAAAUAACUGGCCUAUGGAAAAACAAUGGACAUUUUGUACAUUCGUAUAUAGUUGAGUGCAUGUUUUUAUUUUAUUCUACAUUUACGACCAUACAUUACCAAUUUUUCUUUGUUCUUUUUUUCUGUUUGAUAAUCAAAGCAAGUAUUUUUACCCUUUUAUAUUCCUCUAUUACUCCACAAUUACAUUAUUCCACUUUUCUUAUAGUUCCCAGUGUGAUUUUCCCUUGAUAUGGCUCACGUAAGUGAGCCAAAGGGGGGAUGUAUGGAGGAAUUCAUCUUUUAAUAUUGUCAAGGUGGAACCAUGUUUGUUUUAAUAACUGCAAUCACUGCCCAAAGAAUGAUUAGUUCUAGAAUGUUUCACUGAAUCACAACAAGGUAAAGUAAGGCCAAAGGAACUUUAGUUGAACUACUCUUGGCUCCUACUAUCUUUUUCCAAAGAUCUGUUUAUAAGACUUCCUAGAAAUGGAAGAGCACACACACCAUUUCACACACACACACACCCCUCCAACUAGGGAGGGAGGGCUUUUGGUCCAGAGCAAUGCCUGUACACAGUAAGAUAUCAUGUUCCUAUUUACGUCAUACUGUAUCCCUAUAAAGGCUGAAAGUUACCCCAUAUUGUUGGGAUUGUUGGGACUGCUGUGAAAUGAAGAUGAUUGUAAGUCCAGAAUAAACGAAUCCCCCUGCUGGUCACUGAAGAGAA